GCAUUGGUGAUUCAGUGGUAGAACUCUUGGCUUCCAUGCAGGAUACCUGGGUUCGAUUCCCAGCCAAUGCA
This 71-nucleotide transfer RNA is filed under the name Loxodonta africana (African savanna elephant). It matches the Rfam family "tRNA". From Rfam's summary of the family: Transfer RNA (tRNA) molecules are approximately 80 nucleotides in length. Their secondary structure includes four short double-helical elements and three loops (D, anti-codon, and T loops). Further hydrogen bonds mediate the characteristic L-shaped molecular structure. tRNAs have two regions of fundamental functional importance: the anti-codon, which is responsible for specific mRNA codon recognition, and the 3' end, to which the tRNAs corresponding amino acid is attached (by aminoacyl-tRNA synthetases). tRNAs cope with the degeneracy of the genetic code in two manners: having more than one tRNA (with a specific anti-codon) for a particular amino acid; and 'wobble' base-pairing, i.e. permitting non-standard base-pairing at the 3rd anti-codon position. Lineage: Eukaryota; Metazoa; Chordata; Mammalia; Proboscidea; Elephantidae. The record is from Rfam by way of RNAcentral.